This 343-nucleotide ribosomal RNA is filed under the name uncultured bacterium. RNAcentral describes it as "bacterial SSU rRNA". It matches the Rfam family "Bacterial small subunit ribosomal RNA", at positions 74 to 422 of the family's 1533-position model. The record is from RNAcentral.
UAGGGGCAACUCUACUUUAGUGGCGGACGGGUGAGGAAUGCGUAGGAAUCUACCCUAAAGCGGGGGAUAACUCGGGGAAACUCGAGCUAAUACCGCAUAUGCUCUACGGAGUAAAGCCGGGGGCCUUCGGGCCUGGCACUUUAGGAUGAGCCUACGCCGGAUUAGCUAGUUGGUGGGGUAAAGGCCCACCAAGGCGACGGUCCGUAGCUGGUCUGAGAGGAUGACCAGCCACACUGGGACUGAGAUACGGCCCAGACUCCUACGGGAGGCAGCAGUGGGGAAUAUUGGACAAUGGGCGCAAGCCUGAUCCAGCAAUGCCGCGUGUGUGAAGAAGGCCUUCGGG